This 332-nucleotide unclassified non-coding RNA is filed under the name fungal sp. RNAcentral describes it as "partial internal transcribed spacer region". The stretch from base 1 to 46 matches the Rfam family "Eukaryotic small subunit ribosomal RNA", at positions 1786 to 1831 of the family's 1831-position model. Lineage: Eukaryota; Fungi. The record is from RNAcentral.
AAGUCGUAACAAGGUUUCCGUAGGUGAACCUGCGGAAGGAUCAUUAACACGUUUUCCAAACGUUAUUGACCCAUCUCUAUUUUCCGUGCACCCCCCCUGCGUCCGGCCUCCCAGCCGCCUAUCGUGUUUACACGGUGUGGCCUGUUGGGCGUCUUUGGGAUCAAAGAAGUUGGGAAUUGUCGCAAGACUUUUUCUUCCUUCUCCCUUGGGCGUUGCCACCUCACCCAAACCCUUUAAUCUAAUUGAUCUGAACUUUUAGUUAGAGACCCUUCACGGGGUCGAUAACGAUACGAAACAAACAACAACUCUUAACAACGGAUAUCUUGGUUCUC